UGGAGGAUAGCCGAAUGGUUAGGAACCUGAUUCGAAAUCAGGCGCCGGGAAACCGGUUGAGGGUUCGAAUCCCUUGUCCUCCGU
RNAcentral lists this transfer RNA (84 nucleotides) under Pirellula sp. SH-Sr6A. RNAcentral describes it as "tRNA-Ser". It matches the Rfam family "tRNA". From Rfam's summary of the family: Transfer RNA (tRNA) molecules are approximately 80 nucleotides in length. The record is from RNAcentral. Lineage: Bacteria; Pseudomonadati; Planctomycetota; Planctomycetia; Pirellulales; Pirellulaceae.